RNAcentral lists this ribosomal RNA (362 nucleotides) under uncultured bacterium. Its description in RNAcentral is "partial 16S ribosomal RNA". It matches the Rfam family "Bacterial small subunit ribosomal RNA", at positions 338 to 697 of the family's 1533-position model. The record is from RNAcentral.
CCUACGGGUGGCAGCAGUGAGGAAUAUUGGUCAAUGGCCGGAAGGCUGAACCAGCCAUGCCGCGUGCAGGUCAGUGCCCUAUGGGCGUUAAACUUCUUUUGUGCGGGAGCAAUAUUGGUCACGUGUGGCCAGACGAGAGUACCGUACGAUUAAGCAUCGGCUAACUCCGUGCCAGCAGCCGCGGUAAUACGGGGGGUGCAAGCGUUAUCCGGGUUUAUUGGUUUUAAAGGUUGCGUAGGCGGUGAGUUAAGUCAGCGGUGAAAUGCCCCCGCGCAAAGGGGUGAAGUGCCCUUGAUACUGGCAUGCUGGAAUGAGAAUGAGGUGGGAGGAAUGUGAGGUGUAGCGGUGAAAUGCAUAGAUAU